GUGGUAAUGCCGGAUGCUCCAUCACACCGCAUGGUGUGUUGGGAAAGCCUUUGCGGCAUGGGAUGGGGUCGCGUCCUAUCAGCUUGAUGGCGGGGUAACGGCCCACCAUGGCUUCGACGGGUAGCCGGCCUGAGAGGGCGACCGGCCACAUUGGGACUGAGAUACGGCCCAGACUCCUACGGGAGGCAGCAGUGGGGAAUAUUGCACAAUGGGCGCAAGCCUGAUGCAGCGACGCCGCGUGAGGGAUGGAGGCCUUCGGGUUGUAAACCUCUUUUGUUAGGGAGCAAGGCAUUUUGUGUUGAGUGUACCUUUCGAAUAAGCACCGGCUAACUACGUGCCAGCAGCCGCGGUAAUACGUAGGGUGCAAGCGUUAUCCGGAAUUAUUGGGCGUAAAGGGCUCGUAGGCGGUUCGUCGCGUCCGGUGUGAAAGUCCAUCGCUUAACGGUGGAUCCGCGCCGGGUACGGGCGGGCUUGAGUGCGGUAGGGGAGACUGGAAUUCCCGGUGUAACGGUGGAAUGUGUAGAUAU
Molecule: ribosomal RNA, 527 nt
Filed under: Bifidobacterium breve
Lineage: Bacteria; Bacillati; Actinomycetota; Actinomycetes; Bifidobacteriales; Bifidobacteriaceae
Description: bacterial SSU rRNA
Rfam family: Bacterial small subunit ribosomal RNA
Source: RNAcentral